CCUACGGGUGGCAGCAGUGAGGAAUAUUGGUCAAUGGGCGAGAGCCUGAACCAGCCAAGUCGCGUGAGGGAGUACUGCCCUAUGGGUUGUAAACCUCUUUUGUCGGGGAGCAAAAGCCGGACGUGUCCGGCUGUGAGAGUACCCGAAGAAAAAGCAUCGACUAACUCCGUGCCAGCAGCCGCGGUAAUACGGAGGAUGCGAGCGUUAUCCGGAUUUGUUGGGUUUAAAGGGUGCGCAGGCGGAUUUUUAAGUCAGCGGGAAAAUCGUGGGGCUCAACCCCAUCCAGCCGUUGAAACUGGGGAUCUAGAGUGUGCGAGGGGGAGGCGGAAGGCGUGGUGUAGCGGUGAAAUGCAUAGAUAUCACGCAGAACCCGGAUUGAGAAGGAAGCAUACGGGUGCACAACUGACGCUCAGGAACGAAAGCGUGGGUAUCGAACAGGAUUAGAUACCCUAGUAGUC
Molecule: ribosomal RNA, 458 nt
Filed under: uncultured bacterium
Lineage: Bacteria
Description: partial 16S ribosomal RNA
Rfam family: Bacterial small subunit ribosomal RNA
Source: RNAcentral